AAAUAAGUAAGCUAAAAAAAGCUUUUAGGUUCAUACCCUAAAUAUAGAAAUUACUUGGAUCUCUUAUUUA
This 70-nucleotide transfer RNA is filed under the name Pseudomyrmex concolor. Its description in RNAcentral is "tRNA-Met". Lineage: Eukaryota; Metazoa; Arthropoda; Insecta; Hymenoptera; Formicidae. The record is from RNAcentral.